CUGGGUCAGCCAUUGGGCUGGGGUCACGCCAAUCAAGGUUGCCUGGCGAAUGAGCGGGGGGCUUCGGACCGGAAACCGGAUAUGAAUGGGAGGUCCAACAGGGGGCGCCGCGUUGGAACGCCCUAAGAGGUUGUGCUCCUGGGGUGGUUGGAAGCGGCCGGUGGGCCGGCGUAUGGCGGCCAGGCCUGGGAAGCCACGAGGCUGCCUGGCGCCGUGGGGUCACUCUUCCUGAAGCCACAAGUCACCAAGGCUGGAAGGGAAGGUCGGGGGCUGCCAGGGGCCAACCUUAGGUAUCGCUGGGGGCGGUGGGCAAACCCACCCGACCGAGGGGACCGCCGCUGAGGACAGGCGAGGAGGAAGAAAAUGUCUGGGGCCUGGCGGUAGAGAGCCAGGCCCCGAGGAGAGACAGGGCUCGCUGCCCCGAUGCAGAGGAGCAGUCCCAGACGGCUGAGGAGUUGAGGCCCCAGGGAUGCUGCGCCCUGCCGAGCUAGAAGGGAUUGGCCACCAGAGUCUGAAAACCCCAGAUCACUUAUGUGAAGGGGUUCAAAGCUGAAACCGUCAUGGAACAGAGUGGGAUGAGACACCUCAGAAGUGAGGCCAGAUGUUUGAGGAACUGGCUGACACGGGAGGCAGCUGAUGUGCCCAGCCCCAGGGACCCGAGGAGCCUGGUGCGGGUCUUGCGCAGACAGCCCCAGACCUCUCCGGCCAAGCUGCACCCAGCCCCGUCGCCAGAUCAACUGCGCCAAAACCUUAGCGAUGCCCCGACGUGACCAAGCUCGUGCCACCAACUCUGGGAGCCGGUAGGGGUACCCCCUAAGACCCCGUACCUUCUCUGCCAGCCCUCCAAGUACGCGUAACUCGUGGGGAACCGCCGGCCAGCCUGGAGAGGUCGGCUCUGGAGCGCGCGGGCAGGUGCGCACGCUCUUUGCGGCGCGCUUGGCCCCGUGCGCGCCCGGAGGCGAGUGGCGGCGGCCAGGACUGGCGCACAGGGGCGGGGAGCCCUGGCGCCGAGGUCCCACGGCUCCAAAUUGGCAGCGUUAGGACCUGGGCUCCGGGCUCCCAGCGCCUUAAAGCGCCGCGCGCGACUUUUCCCGGAGCCGGCAGUCUCCGGACUUCUCGCCCAAUCCCAGUGUGAUUACUUUUCGCACAUUGCAACAGUGUCGCUACAGCGCGGCCGCUCUCGCACGGUGAAAGUUGGCGCGUGCACUUAAGAACUACGUUUCGGGCGCCCGCCAAGGCCAGCUGGUUUGAGACUAGUGUUUAAGAGGAAAAAAAGCAUGUAAAACAAGUGACUUACCCGUGCCUUUGGGUGUGCAGCUCGAAACCUGGGGCGCGCCGGGGGUUCAGUCGCGCGUCCUGGACACCAGCGCGGAGACCUCAGGCUGUCUCCAGCGGGGCGCGCGGAGCGCCCCGCCGUCCAACAAGCCUUUGGCCACCUGGGCGCUGCCGGCGUCCUCCCAGCGUCCUGGGGAGCCUCCCCCGGCUCGCCCUGGCCCCCAGCCUCCCCGCUCAGGCUAGCUGAGCCCACUGGCCUCCCGCAUUCCUCCUAACCUGCCUUUCCUUCUCCCUCCCUCCCUCCCGCGGCUCCCACACCGACCCCGGUUUGGCGGCGGGCAACUAACCUGAA
Molecule: long non-coding RNA, 1627 nt
Organism: Mustela erminea (ermine)
Lineage: Eukaryota; Metazoa; Chordata; Mammalia; Carnivora; Mustelidae
Exons: 3
Source: RefSeq, a predicted model, not a curated record